UCGGGAAUUUUGGGCAAUGGGCGAAAGCCCGACCCAGCAACGCCGCGUGAAGGAUGAAGUAUUUCGGUAUGUAAACUUCGAAAGAAUAGGAAGAAUAAAUGACGGUACUAUUUAUAAGGUCCGGCUAACUACGUGCCAGCAGCCGCGGUAAUACGUAGGGACCAAGCGUUGUUCGGAUUUACUGGGCGUAAAGGGCGCGUAGGCGGCAUGACAAGUCACUUGUGAAAUCUCUGGGCUUAACCCAGAACGGCCAAGUGAUACUGUCGCGCUAGAGUGCAGAAGGGGCAAUCGGAAUUCUUGGUGUAGCGGUGAAAUGCGUAGAUAUCAAGAGGAACACCUGUGGCGAAGGCGGCCACCUGGUUGGAUACUGACGCUGAGACGCGAAAGCGUGGGGAGCAAACAGGAUUAGAUACCCAUGUAGUCCCUGAGCGGGCUGGCAAGGCGCAU
RNAcentral lists this ribosomal RNA (447 nucleotides) under uncultured bacterium. RNAcentral describes it as "bacterial SSU rRNA". It matches the Rfam family "Bacterial small subunit ribosomal RNA", at positions 355 to 825 of the family's 1533-position model. The record is from RNAcentral.